AAUCAACGCUGGCGGCGUGCCUCAGACAUGCAAGUCGAACGCGAAAGGUUCCUUCGGGGACCGAGUAGAGUGGCGCACGGGUGAGUAACACGUAGGUAAUUUGCCUUUGGGUGGGGAAUAACUCAGGGAAACUUGAGCUAAUACCGCAUAAUGCAGCGGCUCGACAUCGAGACAGUUGUUAAAGCGGGGAUUCGCAAGAACCUCGCGCCUAAAGAAGAAGCCUGCGGCAGAUAGCUAGUUGGUAAGGUAAUGGCUUACCAAGGCGACGAUCUGUAACCGGCCUGAGAGGGCGGUCGGUCACACUG
Molecule: ribosomal RNA, 305 nt
Filed under: uncultured bacterium
Lineage: Bacteria
Description: bacterial SSU rRNA
Rfam family: Bacterial small subunit ribosomal RNA
Source: RNAcentral